RNAcentral lists this unclassified non-coding RNA (237 nucleotides) under Hevea brasiliensis (rubber tree). The record is from RNAcentral. Lineage: Eukaryota; Viridiplantae; Streptophyta; Magnoliopsida; Malpighiales; Euphorbiaceae.
GGCAAUUUGCACUACUGUUUAAUUCAAUCCUUUUCCUUAAUUUUUAAGGCAAGAAAGAGGCUAAAUGUGCAGAAUUUAAACCAGUAGAAGCAUAUUUCAAUAGAUAAUUAGUUAAAAUAUAAUAAUAUGCUUUUAAUUGCCAUAUCUCCCUCGUGCACUUUUUGUUCCAUAGAAAAGAUUGGAAUUAAAAACACAAAAAUGAAGCUAACACAUUUUCAAUAGAUAAUUAGUUAAAAU